Molecule: unclassified non-coding RNA, 334 nt
Filed under: soil metagenome
Description: partial contains 5.8S ribosomal RNA, internal transcribed spacer 2, and large subunit ribosomal RNA
Rfam family: 5.8S ribosomal RNA (bases 1-120)
Source: RNAcentral
GAUGAAGAACGUAGCGAAAUGCGAUAAGUAAUGUGAAUUGCAGAAUUCAGUGAAUCAUCGAAUCUUUGAACGCACAUUGCGCCCGCCAGUAUUCUGGCGGGCAUGCCUGUUCGAGCGUCAUUUCAGCCAUCAAGCCCCAGGCUUGUGUUGGAGCCCUGCGGCUGCCGCAGCCUCCCAAAACCAGUGGCGGGCUCGCUAUCACACCGAGUGCAGUAGUUUACUCUUCGCUCAGGGCGUGUGGCGGGUGCUAGCCGUAAAACCCCCAACUUCUCAAGGUUGACCUCGGAUCAGGUAGGAAUACCCGCUGAACUUAAGCAUAUCAAUAAGCGGAGGA